RNAcentral lists this ribosomal RNA (245 nucleotides) under Peyritschia divaricata. RNAcentral's name for it is "Calamagrostis divaricata partial 18S ribosomal RNA". It matches the Rfam family "Eukaryotic small subunit ribosomal RNA", at positions 1591 to 1831 of the family's 1831-position model. The record is from RNAcentral. Lineage: Eukaryota; Viridiplantae; Streptophyta; Magnoliopsida; Poales; Poaceae.
UGUUGGUCUUCAACGAGGAAUGCCUAGUAAGCGCGAGUCAUCAGCUCGCGUUGACUACGUCCCUGCCCUUUGUACACACCGCCCGUCGCUCCUACCGAUUGAAUGGUCCGGUGAAGUGUUCGGAUCGCGGCGACGGGGGCGGUUCGCNGCCCCCGACGUCGCGAGAAGUCCAUUGAACCUUAUCAUUUAGAGGAAGGAGAAGUCGUAACAAGGUUUCCGUAGGUGAACCUGCGGAAGGAUCAUUG